AGGGUUGUAGUUAAUUAUAACAUUUAAUUUGCAAUUAAAAAGUACUAGAUUUUUAGUCCUCCUUA
Molecule: transfer RNA, 65 nt
Filed under: Enithares tibialis
Lineage: Eukaryota; Metazoa; Arthropoda; Insecta; Hemiptera; Notonectidae
Description: tRNA-Ala
Rfam family: tRNA
About the family: Transfer RNA (tRNA) molecules are approximately 80 nucleotides in length. Their secondary structure includes four short double-helical elements and three loops (D, anti-codon, and T loops).
Source: RNAcentral